UUUUUCUCUUUUAGUUUCUUCUUUUUCCAGUAAGAAAGUAAUUGCAGGCAUGUUAUGAUUUUCUUCCCUCUCACAACAAGCAAACAUAGUUUUCUCUCAUCGUGUACUCCAGAACUUGAGUAAUUUGAGAAGAAAUGCCUGCUGAAACAGACCUGUCUUCUAACUGUGACCACAAGUGAAUGUUUCACAGAGAAACAAACCAAUUUCUACUUUAAUCAUUGGCUAUGAAGCAGUUUUGUGCUCACAAUGACUGAGGCUGUGGGCAGAUUUCUUUCCUUGUGACUAUUGCUGUGGAACACUGGAACCUGCAACGGGUACUGUUGCACAGUCUUUCAGUUGUGCAGUGAAUGAAAGAAUACAUUUCUGAUACACCUGUGCAGUCUACAUCCUUCAGAACAAUGAGGUAUUCACAGUCCUGCUUUUCAUCUCCCUGCUCCAAAGUUCAGUAAGAGGACACAGUGCCAUUAGUUUCUAACACCAAACACUCUAAUUAUAUUGGCCAGCUAAUUACUGAUUAGAUAGAAAGUAGUGCCUAUUAGACACAUGAAGGUGAUCACCUCUUAUCACAUCCCAGGUAAAUGCUGUUCAUUGUAAGUGCAUGCUCUGUUAUCACUAUUUUUAGUUCUCUUCUUUGUAAGGUAUUUUUUAUUCUCUUCGUUGAGCACUAAGAAGCACAAUACAUUAUUAACUAUGAUGAAAUGUUGGCCUUUCCUGUUUUGAAAUGUCUGAGAAAAAUGUAUGAGGAUGGGCACUACCUUGAUCCUGGGAACAUGAAGACUCCUCUCUUCAGUGAGCAUCUUCAAGCACUGUUGAAGGGGCUACCACUUCCCCUGGACUGUAGCUGUGGUCUCAUGGGCCCUGGUGAAGGAGCAGCCCAAGGUUUUGGUGAGCCACAUGCACACCAGGCAGCAUACACUCUUCUCGUGGUCCCAGAAGAGCUGCAGCUGGAAGGACAAAUAAAUCAAAAGAUUUGUCAAAUUAUUUUGACAAAUAAAUCAAAAGAAAUCAAAAGUCACCUCCUCCUGGCAUGACAUCUCAUGGGCUAGGUGCUCAGUUCCUGUGGAUUUUCCAUGGAUGCAGCUUUCUGCUGCAGCAGACAUUGGCCAAGCUGGCUGCUCAGGGAGGUGGCUGCUUCAAUCCCUACAGGUGCAUGGAGGUGUGUUUAUGCACAGGCAGCCAGGAUCAGAGGAGAGGUGGGAACAAGAGCAAAUGUUAUCAUUCCCAGAUGAAAACUGGUCUGUAACUCCUAAUGGAAAACACUCAGUCCAUAUAGGAAAACUAUGAACUUUGCACUUUUUUCGUACACUUUUUUUUAUGUAAGUGUGAAAUACCUACAUUUUUUUCUAUUAAAAGUUUGAUUUGUUGAAAUACAAUUUUCCAUCAGAAGUAAUAAAUGAUGGAUAUGUCCUUAACAGUCUUCUUUAAAACCCAAUAAAACAUUCCUUGUGGUAUUAGUAGGCUAAUGCAAUAUGCUAUAAAGGUCAUAUUCAUAAAAAGAUAUUCUAUACUGCAUAGUCUUGAUGUUGGAAAUUAGUCCAAGUUAACUCUUGUUACACUAAUCAUUCCUUACCCUGUAUGCUCCCUGACUUCUGCAGGAUACUGAUGGUCAAUAAAUAAUCAUACUUCCUUAAGUAGAAAAGUAGCUGCUGUAAAAGUAAUGUUCUUUGAUUUCUGUUGAUAAUGUAGGAAUAAGUCCUUUAGCAGGCAAUACUCUGUCUGAAGUAAAAAUUUUCAUUUCCUGGACAUGAACUACAUAAUGAGCCAUCAAUUGUAGACUGCCACUAAGGAGAGUCAAACCUAGUUUGCUCAGAAGCCACCUACAAAGCAUAAGGUGUGAUUAAAACAGUAUGUUGUGAAAUAAGGUGAGACUAUAACAGUAUCUUCUGAAAAGUCUUUGAUUCUUUCCCUUUUCAACUACAAACAAUACUAAUUACAGGAGGGGCAGAGAAGUAAAAUAAUAGAAGUUACCCUAAUUAUCUGGAGUCUCUAUUUUGUGUUGGAUGGAUGCUUGGUGUGCUUACUAUCUGUUUGAUUUUGUUAAUGAUACUUCAUAAAUUAUAUGCAAAUAAAGAAUGCAGAUGGGAA
Molecule: non-coding RNA, 2085 nt
Organism: Cyanistes caeruleus (blue tit)
Lineage: Eukaryota; Metazoa; Chordata; Aves; Passeriformes; Paridae
Source: RefSeq, a predicted model, not a curated record